GACAGAGGGUGCAACCGUUGUUCGGAAUUACUGGGCGUAAAGCGCGCGUAGGCGGCCCUGCAAGUCGGGUGUGAAAUCCCACGGCUCAACCGUGGAAGUGCACUCGAAACUGCAGGGCUAGAGUCCUGGAGAGGAAGGUGGAAUGCUUGGUGUAGAGGUGAAAUUCGUAGAUAUCAAGCGGAACACCGGUGGCGAAGGCGGCCUUCUGGACAGUGACUGACGCUGAGACGCGAAAGCGUGGGGAGCAAACAGG
Molecule: ribosomal RNA, 253 nt
Filed under: uncultured bacterium
Lineage: Bacteria
Description: partial 16S ribosomal RNA
Rfam family: Bacterial small subunit ribosomal RNA
Source: RNAcentral